Molecule: non-coding RNA, 112 nt
Organism: Acanthosepion pharaonis
Lineage: Eukaryota; Metazoa; Mollusca; Cephalopoda; Sepiida; Sepiidae
Source: the annotation of a GenBank genome assembly
UAUGGCCACAUCACUUUGAUCACCGGUUCCAGUAUGAUUACCGAAGUUAAGCAACGUCGAGCCUGGUCAGUACCUAGAUGGGUGUCCGCAUAGGAGUACCAGGUGCAGUAAG